UGGCAUAUACCAUCACACCUGGAUCAAAAUAUUAUUUUUAGUCAUCAGCAUAUAGUGCUUUAGAAAACCACCUACUGGGUACCAUCCUGAUUGGAGUGCAAAGAAAUGUUUAAGCUUGUUCUCAGGAAGUAACCCAGGCCACACUGACCCCCAGGCCUCUGGUCUCUGGCACCUGUGAUUCCUGCAAGCAAGUCACUUGCCUUAUGCUGCUUUGUGUAACUAGAAAGGAAAUGCUUCACUGACAGAACUGGAAUCUCAUCAGCUUUUCUGUUUCUCAGACUCCUGCAAAUACCAGCCCAGCCACUCUUUCAGAUCCACUUCAAGGAAACAUAGGUUUGAAAACUGUCCCCCACGGUUUUGUGUGAGCUGGCUGCCUUUCUGCAGCACACACUGGGUCGGAUUGCUGGAGUCAGGAACCGAGAG
Molecule: long non-coding RNA, 423 nt
Organism: Nannospalax galili (Upper Galilee mountains blind mole rat)
Lineage: Eukaryota; Metazoa; Chordata; Mammalia; Rodentia; Spalacidae
Exons: 3
Source: RefSeq, a predicted model, not a curated record